This 403-nucleotide ribosomal RNA is filed under the name uncultured bacterium. RNAcentral's name for it is "bacterial SSU rRNA". It matches the Rfam family "Bacterial small subunit ribosomal RNA", at positions 355 to 774 of the family's 1533-position model. The record is from RNAcentral.
UAGGGAAUAUUGCAAAAUGGGCGAAAGCCCGAUGCAGCAACGCCGCGUGGGCGAUGAAGGCCUUCGGGUCGUAAAGCCCUUUUUGAGGGGAUGAGGAAGGACAGUACCCUCAGAAUAAGCCUCGGCUAACUACGUGCCAGCAGCCGCGGUAAAACGUAGGAGGCGAGCGUUAUCCGGAUUUACUGGGCGUAAAGCGCGUGCAGGCGGAUUGGAGAGUUGGAUGUGAAAGCUCCCGGCUUAACUGGGAGAGGUCGUUCAAUACUUCCAGUCUUGAGUGCAGUAGAGGGAAGUGUAAUUCCGGGUGUAGUGGUGAAAUGCGUAGAUAUCCGGAGGAACACCAGUGGCGAAAGCGGCUUCCUGGACUGUAACUGACGCUCAGACGCGAAAGCUAGGGUAGCAAACG